CCCCUAGUAACUGCGAGUGAAGCGGGAAAAGCUCAAAUUUAAAAUCUGGCGGUCUCCGGCCGUCCGAGUUGUAGUCUGGAGAAGCGUUUUCCGCGUUGGACCGUGUACAAGUUUCCUGGAACGGAGCGUCAUAGAGGGUGAGAAUCCCGUCUUUGACACGGACCCCAAUGCUUUGUGAUGCGCUCUCAAAGAGUCGAGUUGUUUGGGAAUGCAGCUCAAAAUGGGUGGUGAAUUCCAUCUAAAGCUAAAUAUUGGCGAGAGACCGAUAGCGAACAAGUACCGUGAGGGAAAGAUGAAAAGCACUUUGGAAAGAGAGUUAAACAGUACGUGAAAUUGUUGAAAGGGAAACGCUUGAAGUCAGUCGCGUCGUCCGGGACUCAGCCUUGCAUUCGCUUGGUGUACUUUCCGGUCGACGGGCCAGCAUCAGUUUUGACCGCGAGACAAAGGCGGAGGGAAUGUGGCUCUUUCGGGAGUGUUAUAGCCCUUCGUCGCAUGUCGCGGUUGGGACUGAGGACCGCAGCACGCCUUUAUGGCCGGGGUUCGCCCACGUACGUGCUUAGGAUGCUGGCGUAAUGGCUUUAAACGACCCGUCUUGAAACACGGACCAAGGAGUCUAACAUGCCUGCGAGUGUUCGGGUGGAAAACCCGUGCGCGUAAUGAAAGUGAAAGUUGGGAUCCCUGUCGUGGGGUGCACCGACGCCCGGACCAGACCUUUUGUGACGGAUCUGCGGUAGAGCAUGUAUGUUGGGACCCGAAAGAUGGUGAACUAUGCCUGAAUAGGGUGAAGCCAGAGGAAACUCUGGUGGAGGCUCGUAGCGAUUCUGACGUGCAAAUCGAUCGUCAAAUUUGGGUAUAGGGGCGAAAGACUAAUCGA
Molecule: ribosomal RNA, 874 nt
Filed under: Gloeomyces cerussatus
Lineage: Eukaryota; Fungi; Basidiomycota; Agaricomycetes; Russulales; Stereaceae
Description: Acanthophysellum cerussatum partial large subunit ribosomal RNA
Rfam family: Eukaryotic large subunit ribosomal RNA
Source: RNAcentral